RNAcentral lists this ribosomal RNA (253 nucleotides) under uncultured bacterium. Its description in RNAcentral is "partial 16S ribosomal RNA". It matches the Rfam family "Bacterial small subunit ribosomal RNA", at positions 524 to 776 of the family's 1533-position model. The record is from RNAcentral.
UACGGAAGGUGCAAGCGUUGUCCGGAUUGACUGGGUGUAAAGGGCGCGUAGGCGGAGAGGUGUGUCGGGAGUGAAAUCGUGCGGCUUAACCGUACAAUGGCUUUCGAAACUACCUCCCUUGAGUACAGAAGGGGUUGAUGGAAUACCUGGUGUAGCGGUGGAAUGCGUAGAUAUCAGGUAGAACACCGGAGGCGAAGGCGGUCAACUGGUCUGUAACUGACGCUGAGGCGCGAAAGUGUGGGGAGCAAACAGG